AAGAUAGAGGUGCGAUUUUAAAAAGUAACGGAUUUCAGGCUGCCAAAGCCGUGUAUCGUCCGUGAAAGGUAAACUCGCCGAAGGGGGUUUCGGGGCAGGAAACCGCCUGGUUGUUUUUGUGAACAGCAGAACAACUGUCAUCAUGUUGAUAUGAUGGAGCGCUAUCGG
RNAcentral lists this non-coding RNA (168 nucleotides) under uncultured Caproiciproducens sp. Its description in RNAcentral is "Lysine riboswitch". It matches the Rfam family "Lysine riboswitch aptamer". From Rfam's summary of the family: Riboswitches are metabolite binding domains within certain messenger RNAs that serve as precision sensors for their corresponding targets. Allosteric rearrangement of mRNA structure is mediated by ligand binding, and this results in modulation of gene expression. This family includes riboswitches that sense lysine in a number of genes involved in lysine metabolism, including lysC. Lineage: Bacteria; Bacillati; Bacillota; Clostridia; Eubacteriales; Acutalibacteraceae. The record is from RNAcentral.